This 505-nucleotide ribosomal RNA is filed under the name uncultured bacterium. RNAcentral's name for it is "bacterial SSU rRNA". It matches the Rfam family "Bacterial small subunit ribosomal RNA", at positions 28 to 525 of the family's 1533-position model. The record is from RNAcentral.
GAUGAACGCUAGCGGGAGGCUUAACACAUGCAAGUCGAGGGGCAGCAUAGGGUAGCAAUACUCUGAUGGCGACCGGCAAACGGGUGAGUAACGCGUAUGCAACCUACCCUGUACAGGGGGAUAACCCGGAGAAAUUCGGACUAAUAUCCCGUAAUAAUAUCCGGAGGCAUCUUUGGAUAUUUAAAGUUCCGACGGUACGGGAUGGGCAUGCGUAACAUUAGCUGGUUGGUAAGGUAACGGCUUACCAAGGCUAUGAUGUUUAGGGGUCCUGAGAGGGUGGUCCCCCACACUGGUACUGAGACACGGACCAGACUCCUACGGGAGCAGCAGUGAGGAAUAUUGGUCAAUGGGCGCAAGCCUGAACCAGCCAUCCCGCGUGCAGGAAGACGGCCCUAUGGGUUGUAAACUGCUUUUCCAGGGAGAGAAACUUACGCACGUGUUGCGUGACUGACGGUACCCUGGGAAUAAGCAUCGGCUAACUCCGUGCCAGCAGCCGCGGUAAGCA